ACAAGCGGUGGAGCAUGUGGUUUAAUUCGACGCAACGCGAAGAACCGUUUACCAGGACUUGACAUCCCUGACAACCUAUGAAGUAGGUCUUCUGCCUCGGGUAGACAGGGAGACAGGUGGUGCAUGGUUGUCGUCAGCUCGUGUCGUGAGAUGUUGGGUUAAGUCCCGCAACGAGCGCAACCCUUACGGUUAGUUGCCAGCGGUUAAAGCCGGGCACUCUAGCUGAACUGCCGUUGACAAAACGGAGGAAGGUGGGGAUGACGUCAAAUCAUCAUGCCCUUUAUGUCCUGGGCUACACACGUGCUACAAUGGCCUGUCCAGAGGGCAGCGAAGGGGCAACCUGGAGCGAAUCCCAAAAAGCAGGUCUCAGUUCGGAUUGCAGGCUGCAACUCGCCUGCAUGAAGUCGGAAUCGCUAGUAAUCGCAGGUCAGCAUACUGCGGUGAAUACGUUCCCGGGCCUU
This 461-nucleotide ribosomal RNA is filed under the name uncultured Desulfotomaculum sp. Its description in RNAcentral is "bacterial SSU rRNA". It matches the Rfam family "Bacterial small subunit ribosomal RNA", at positions 925 to 1382 of the family's 1533-position model. Lineage: Bacteria; Bacillati; Bacillota; Clostridia; Eubacteriales; Desulfotomaculaceae. The record is from RNAcentral.